CCUGGUUGAUCCUGCCAGUAGUCAUAUGCUUGUCUCAAAGAUUAAGCCAUGCAUGUGUAAGUAUAAGCAACUAUACUGCGAAACUGCGAAUGGCUCAUUAAAUCAGUUAUCGUUCAUUUGAUAGUACCUUACUACAUGGAUACCUGUAGUAAUUCCAGAGCUAACACACGCACAAAAACCCCGACUUCUGGAAGGGGUGCAUUUGUUAGAUCCAAAACCAAUACCUUCGGGUCUUGUGAUGAUUCAUAACAACUUUGCGAAUCGCAGAGGCCUUGAGCCGGCGAUAAAUCAUUCAAGUUUCUGCCCUAUCAACUUUCGAUGGUACGAUAGAGGCGUACCAUUGUUUUGACGGGUAACGGAGAAUUAGGGUUCGAUUCCGGAGAGGGAGCCUGAGAGACGGCUACCACAUCCAAGGACGGCAGCAGGCGCGCAAAUUACCCAAUCCCGAUACGGGGAGGUAGUGACAAUAAAUAACAAUACCGGGCCUUCAAGGUCUGGUAAUUGGAAUGAGUACAAUCCAAAACCCUUAACGAGGAACAAUUGGAGGGCAAGUCUGGUGCCAGCAGCCGCGGUAAUUCCAGCUCCAAUAGCGUAUAUUAAAGUUGCUGCAGUUAAAAAGCUCGUAGUCGGAUUUCAGGGUCCUCUGGCCGGUCUGUCGAAAGGCAUGCACUGGUCGGUGGACCCUUCCUUCUGAAGACUGCGUCUGUUCUUAAUUGAAUGGGCGUAGGAUUCGGAUCGUUUACUUUGAAAAAAUUAGAGUGUUUAAAGCAGGCCACUGCCGUGAAUACUUCAGCAUGGAAUAAUAGAAUAGGACUUUGGUUUUAUUUUGUUGGUUUCUAGGACCAAAGUAAUGAUUAAUAGGGACAGUUGGGGGCAUCAGUAUUUAAUUGCUAGAGGUGAAAUUCUCAGAUUUAUGAAAGACUAACUUCUGCGAAAGCAUUUGCCAAGGAUGUUUUCAUUGAUCAAGAACGAAAGUUAGGGGAUCGAAGACGAUCAGAUACCGUCGUAGUCUUAACCAUAAACUAUGCCGACUAGGACUAAGUGGAUGUUAUUUACGACUCCAUUUGUGCCUUAUGAGAAAUCAAAGUCUUUGGGUUCCGGGGGGAGUAUGGUCGCAAGGCUGAAACUUAAAGGAAUUGACGGAAGGGCACCACAAGGCGUGGAGCCUGCGGCUUAAUUUGACCCAACACGGGGAAACUUACCAGGUCCAGACACAGGUUUGAUUGACAGAUUGAUAGCUCUUUCUUGAUUCUGUGGGUGGUGGUGCAUGGCCGUUCUUAGUUGGUGGAGUGAUUUGUCUGGUUAAUUCCGUUAACGAACGAGACCUCAGCCUACUAAAUAGUUGGGCGAAUCCC
Molecule: ribosomal RNA, 1355 nt
Filed under: metagenome
Description: SSU rRNA
Rfam family: Eukaryotic small subunit ribosomal RNA
Source: RNAcentral